Molecule: ribosomal RNA, 378 nt
Filed under: Gonypeta borneana
Lineage: Eukaryota; Metazoa; Arthropoda; Insecta; Mantodea; Gonypetidae
Description: partial 12S ribosomal RNA
Source: RNAcentral
AUUAGAUACCCUAUUAUUUUUAAUGUAAAGGAGAAAUAAAUCAGAGUAUUAUUAGUUAGGAUCUUAAAACUUAAAGAAUUUGGCGGUACUAUAGUCUAUUUAGAGGAAUCUGUUAUAUAAUCGAUAAUCCACGUUGAACCUUACUUACUUUCUAUUUUGUAUACCGCUGUUUAUUGAAUAGACUUUAAGGUUGUUUUCUUAAUUAGAAUUAAUUAAUAUUUCAAGUCAAGGUGCAGUUAUAAGUAAGUUGAGUAAUGGAUUACAAUAGAUUUUAUUUAAAUGGAUUAUUAAUGAAAUAUAAUAUGAAAGUGGAUUUAAUUGUAAUUUCAUAAAGAUUAUUAAAAUGAAAUAAGCUCUAUAGUAUGUACACAUCGCCCG